GGAUUGUGGCUCAGCGUUAGGGUGCUUGCCUAGCAUGUGCAAGGCCCUGGGUUCGAUCCUCAGCACCA
This 68-nucleotide transfer RNA is filed under the name Marmota monax (woodchuck). Its description in RNAcentral is "tRNA.Ala". Lineage: Eukaryota; Metazoa; Chordata; Mammalia; Rodentia; Sciuridae. The record is from RNAcentral.